This 253-nucleotide ribosomal RNA is filed under the name uncultured bacterium. Its description in RNAcentral is "partial 16S ribosomal RNA". It matches the Rfam family "Bacterial small subunit ribosomal RNA", at positions 524 to 776 of the family's 1533-position model. The record is from RNAcentral.
CACGUAGGAGGCGAGCGUUGUCCGGAAUCAUUGGGCGUAAAGAGCGCGCAGGCGGCUUGGCAAGUCGGGUGUGAAAUCCCGGGGCUCAACCCCGGGACUGCAUUCGAUACUGCCAGGCUAGAGGUAGGUAGGGGAGAUCGGAAUUCCUGGUGUAGCGGUGAAAUGCGCAGAUAUCAGGAGGAACACCGGUGGCGAAGGCGGAUCUCUGGGCCUUACCUGACGCUCAGGCGCGAAAGCUAGGGGAGCGAACAGG